RNAcentral lists this ribosomal RNA (504 nucleotides) under uncultured bacterium. RNAcentral's name for it is "partial 16S ribosomal RNA". It matches the Rfam family "Bacterial small subunit ribosomal RNA", at positions 30 to 523 of the family's 1533-position model. The record is from RNAcentral.
AUUGAACGCUGGCGGCAGGCCUAACACAUGCGAGUCGAACGGUAGCACAGAGAGCUUGCUCUCGGGUGACGAGUGGCGGACGGGUGAGUAAUGUCUGGGAAACUGCCCGAUGGAGGGGGAUAACUACUGGAAACGGUAGCUAAUACCGCAUAACGUCGCAAGACCAAAGUGGGGGACCUUCGGGCCUCACACCAUCGGAUGUGCCCAGAUGGGAUUAGCUAGUAGGUGGGAUAAUGGCUCACCUAGGCGACGAUCCCUAGCUGGUCUGAGAGGAUGAACAGCCACACUGGAACUGAGACACGGUCCAGACUCCUACGGGAGGCAGCAGUGGGGAAUAUUGCACAAUGGGCGCAAGCCUGAUGCAGCCAUGCCGCGUGUAUGAAGAAGGCCUUCGGGUUGUAAAGUACUUCCAGCGGGGAGGAAGGCGGUGAAGUUAAUAGCUUCACCGAUUGACGUUACCCGCAGAAGAAGCACCGGCUAACUCCGUGCCAGCCGCCGCAGUAA